GAUGAAGAACGGAGCGAAAUGCGAUAAGUAAUGUGAAUUGCAGAAUUCAGUGAAUCAUCGAAUCUUUGAACGCACAUUGCGCCCGCCAGCAUUCUGGCGGGCAUGCCUGUUCGAGCGUCAUUUCAACCCUCGAGCCCCCCCGGGGGCCUCGGUGUUGGGGGACGGCACACCAGCCGCCCCCGAAAUGCAGUGGCGACCCCGCCGCAGCCUCCCCUGCGUAGUAGCACACACCUCGCACCGGAGCGCGGAGGCGGUCACGCCGUAAAACGCCCAACUUUCUUAGAGUUGACCUCGGAUCAGGAAGGAAUACCCGCUGAACUUAAGCAUAUCAAUAAGCGGAGGA
Molecule: unclassified non-coding RNA, 343 nt
Filed under: soil metagenome
Description: partial contains 5.8S ribosomal RNA, internal transcribed spacer 2, and large subunit ribosomal RNA
Rfam family: 5.8S ribosomal RNA (bases 1-120)
Source: RNAcentral